Molecule: RNA transcript, 805 nt
Organism: Eucalyptus grandis
Lineage: Eukaryota; Viridiplantae; Streptophyta; Magnoliopsida; Myrtales; Myrtaceae
Exons: 4
Source: RefSeq, a predicted model, not a curated record
UUUUGGACUGUUAUGAGAUGUUAAAGCUUCUUAAGGGACCAUAUGAUGUGAAUGGAGCGUCGAUGGUCAUCAAAGCUGAAUCCAAUGGCAAUUACCAUGAGUUAUGGGCUGAAAAACUACUGAGAAUGUACCAAAAAUGGGCUGAGAAGCAAGGUUAUUGAGGGAGGAUUGUAGAGAAGCGUCAGGCAACAAAUGGUGGAAUCACUUCUGCAACGGUUGAAUUUGAAUUUGAUUAUGCAUAUGGUUUUCUUCAAGGGGAGAGGGGUGUUCAUCGAAUGAUAAGUGGUUCAGAAACUGGAUCAACAAUUGAUGAGGUAGCCUAGCAGUUGUCGAUAUAAUUCCUCUGUUCCGUGAUUCGGCCCCUGACCUAAAAAUUAGUGAGGAGGAUUUGCUAAUCUCGUGCCCAUCGUCAUCGCCUGAAGUAAAAGUCAUUGAAGGCCGGUCUGGAGUUGUUAUUCAGCAUGUUCCUACUGGUUUUGUUGUCCAAUCUUUGGGUGAAAGGAGCAUUUUUGCAAAUAAGAUUAAGGCCCUCAACCGGUUGAAGGCUAAACUUCUUAUCGCAGCCAGAGAUGUAGGAGUUCCAGGCAUAAAUGGCUUCAAGAAGGAAAAUGUGUUCGAUGUAUGGGGAGACAAGGUCCGAAGAUAUGUUCUUUACCCUCGCAAGCAUGUGAAAGAUGUAAGAAGUGGUGUUGAAAUGCCUGACCUGUAUUAUGUUUUGGACGGUAAUAUAGAACCUCUGAUUGGAGCUCAUAUCCAGAUGAGACUCUCAAAUGACAUGCCUCCAUAGUAAAGCAGCUUUUCCCAA